This is a non-coding RNA of Acanthosepion pharaonis, 114 nucleotides long. The record is from the annotation of a GenBank genome assembly. NCBI's taxonomy places the organism in Eukaryota, Metazoa, Mollusca, Cephalopoda, Sepiida, Sepiidae.
UUACAGCCAUAUCAUGUUGAAGAACUGGUUCUUGUAUGAUCACCAAAGUUAAGCAUCAUUGAACCUGGUCACUACUGAGAUGGGUGACCACUUGGGAAUACCAGGUGUUGUAAG